GUGAGUAGUUCAGAGUUUGAUCCUGGCUCAGGAUGAACGCUGGCGGCGUGCCUAACACAUGCAAGUCGAACGGGGUGAAGAGCUUCGGCUUUUCACUUAGUGGCGAACGGGUGAGUAACGCGUGAGAAACCUGCCUUUCAGUGGGGGAUAACAGUUGGAAACGACUGCUAAUACCGCAUAACGUAUAUAAGGGGCAUCCCUGAUAUACCAAAGCUUUAUGUGCUGAAAGAUGGUCUCGCGUCUGAUUAGCUAGAUGGCGGGGUAACGGCCCACCAUGGCGACGAUCAGUAGCCGGUCUGAGAGGAUGAACGGCCACAUUGGGACUGAGAUACGGCCCAG
Molecule: ribosomal RNA, 339 nt
Filed under: uncultured bacterium
Lineage: Bacteria
Description: bacterial SSU rRNA
Rfam family: Bacterial small subunit ribosomal RNA
Source: RNAcentral